This 440-nucleotide ribosomal RNA is filed under the name uncultured bacterium. RNAcentral's name for it is "bacterial SSU rRNA". It matches the Rfam family "Bacterial small subunit ribosomal RNA", at positions 338 to 795 of the family's 1533-position model. The record is from RNAcentral.
CCUACGGGGGGCAGCAGUGGGGAAUAUUGCACAAUGGGGGAAACCCUGAUGCAGCAACGCCGCGUGAGCGAUGAAGGCCUUCGGGUCGUAAAGCUCUGUCCUAAGGGAAGAAUACUGACGGUACCUUAGGAGGAAGCCCCGGCUAACUACGUGCCAGCAGCCGCGGUAAUACGUAGGGGGCUAGCGUUAUCCGGAAUUACUGGGCGUAAAGGGUGCGUAGGCGGCCCUUCAAGUCAGAGGUGAAAGGCUACGGCUCAACCGUAGUAAGCCUUUGAAACUGUCUUACUAGAGUGCAGGAGAGGAAAGCGGAAUUCCUAGUGUAGCGGUGAAAUGCGUAGAUAUUAGGAAGAACACCAGUGGCGAAGGCGGCUUUCUGGACUGUAACUGACGCUGAGGCACGAAAGCGUGGGGAGCGAACAGGAUUGGAUACCCGUGUAGUC